This 458-nucleotide ribosomal RNA is filed under the name uncultured bacterium. RNAcentral's name for it is "partial 16S ribosomal RNA". It matches the Rfam family "Bacterial small subunit ribosomal RNA", at positions 29 to 507 of the family's 1533-position model. The record is from RNAcentral.
AACGAACGCUGGCGGCAUGCCUAACACAUGCAAGUCGAACGAGACCUUCAGGUCUAGUGGCGCACGGGUUCGUAACGCGUGGGAACCUGCCCUUAUGUUCGGAAUAACUCCCCGAAAGGGGUGCUAAUACCGGAUAAUGUCUUCGGACCAAAGAUUUAUCGCCUUUGGAUGGGCCCGCGUUGGAUUAGCUAUUUGGUAGGGUAAAAGCCUACCAAGGCGACGAUGCAGAGCUUACCUGAGAGGAUGAUCAGCCACACUGGGACUGAUACACGGCCCAGACUCCUACGGGAGGAAGCAGUAGGGAAGCUUCCGCAAUGGGCGAAAGCCUGACGGAGCAACGCCGCGUGAGGGAGGAAGGUCUUCGGAUCGUAAAACUCGGUUAUUAGGGAAGAACAAAGGGGUAAGUAACUAUGCACGUCUUGACGGUACCUAAUCAGAAAGCCACGGCUAACUACGUG